Non-coding RNA from Salmo salar (Atlantic salmon), 71 nucleotides. NCBI's taxonomy places the organism in Eukaryota, Metazoa, Chordata, Actinopteri, Salmoniformes, Salmonidae. The record is from Rfam.
GCAUUGGUGGUUCAGUGGUAGAAUUCUCACCUGCCAUGCGGGAGACCCGGGCUCGUUUCCCGGCCAAUACA